RNAcentral lists this ribosomal RNA (627 nucleotides) under uncultured Russulaceae. RNAcentral's name for it is "LSU rRNA". It matches the Rfam family "Eukaryotic large subunit ribosomal RNA", at positions 47 to 649 of the family's 3401-position model. Lineage: Eukaryota; Fungi; Basidiomycota; Agaricomycetes; Russulales; Russulaceae. The record is from RNAcentral.
UAAGCGGAGGAAAAGAAACUAACAAGGAUUCCCCUAGUAACUGCGAGUGAAGCGGGAAAAGCUCAAAUUUAAAAUCUGGUGGUCUUUGGCCGUCCGAGUUGUAAUUUAGAGAAGCGUCUUCCGCGCUGGACCGUGCACAAGUCUCCUGGAAUGGAGCGUCAUAGAGGGUGAGAAUCCCGUCUUUGGCACGGACACACCAGGGCUUUUGUGAUGCGCUCUCGAAGAGUCGAGUUGUUUGGGAAUGCAGCUCAAAAUGGGUGGUGAACUCCAUCUAAAGCUAAAUAUUGGCGAGAGACAGAUAGCGAACAAGUACCGUGAGGGAAAGAUGAAAAGCACUUUGGAAAGAGAGUGAAACAGUACGUGAAAUUGUUGAAAGGGAAACGCUUGAAGUCAGUCGCGUCGACCGAGACUCAGCCUUGCCUUGGCUUGGUGUACUUCUCGGCUGACGGGUCAGCAUCAAUUUUGCCCCUUGGAUAAUGGUGAGGGAAAUGUGACACCUUUACGGUGUGUUAUAGUCUCUUGUCGCAUGCAAGGGUCGGGAUCGAGGAACUCAGCACGCGCCUUUGGGCGUCGGGGCUUUGCCCACGAUACGUGCUUAGGAUGUUGGCAUAAUGGCUUUAAACGACC